Molecule: ribosomal RNA, 435 nt
Filed under: Sancus acoreensis
Lineage: Eukaryota; Metazoa; Arthropoda; Arachnida; Araneae; Tetragnathidae
Description: partial 16S ribosomal RNA
Rfam family: Bacterial large subunit ribosomal RNA (bases 1-244)
Source: RNAcentral
AAAAAUUUUAAUAAAGAUUAAGUACUAAAUAGANNNCCCAACANUAGUUGAUUACANUGAACAAGUUACUGUAGGGAUAACAGCGUAAUAUAUAUCUAAAGUUCUUAUUUUGAUAUAAGUUUGCGACCUCGAUGUUGAAUUNAUAUUACUUUCAAGCGCAAGAGCCUGAAAAGUGGGUCUGUUCGACCCCUAAAUAUAUACAUGAUUUGAGUUCAAAUCGGUGUAAACCAGAUUGGUUUCUAUCUAUUNUUAUUUGUGUCUUAGUACGAAAGGACCUGAAACAAUAUUAUAUAAUNAUUUAUAUGGCAGAAAAAUGCUUUAGAUUUAGGAUCUAAUUAUAAUAGAUUAUUAUACUCUAUUUAACUUGCCUAAUCUCUGUUAUUAGAAUCCUUAUCGCAGUAGCUUUUUAUACCCUCCUAGAGCGAAAAAUUCUAA